AUGUGCUUGUUUCAGCCACACAUAUACUAAAAUUGGAACGAUACAAAGAUUAGCAUAGACCCUGCACAAGGAUAACAUGCAAAUUCAUGAAGCAUUCCAUAUUUUG
Small nuclear RNA from Strix occidentalis caurina (northern spotted owl), 106 nucleotides. Lineage: Eukaryota; Metazoa; Chordata; Aves; Strigiformes; Strigidae. The record is from Ensembl.